Molecule: ribosomal RNA, 253 nt
Filed under: uncultured bacterium
Lineage: Bacteria
Description: partial 16S ribosomal RNA
Rfam family: Bacterial small subunit ribosomal RNA
Source: RNAcentral
GACGAACCGAGCGAACGUUGUUCGGAAUCACUGGGCUUAAAGGGCGCGUAGGCGGGUGCUCAAGUCCGGGGUGAAAUCCCACGGCUCAACUGUGGAACUGCCUCGGAUACUGGGCGUCUCGAGGGUGGCAGGGGUAUGCGGAACUAUCGGUGGAGCGGUGAAAUGCGUUGAUAUCGAUAGGAACUCCGGUGGCGAAGGCGGCAUACUGGUCCACUUCUGACGCUGAGGCGCGAAAGCCAGGGGAGCAAACGGG